Streptomyces sp. NBRC 110611 is the source of this 75-nucleotide non-coding RNA. NCBI's taxonomy places the organism in Bacteria, Bacillati, Actinomycetota, Actinomycetes, Kitasatosporales, Streptomycetaceae. The record is from Rfam.
CUUGAGCGAGCCGAGCAGCAGCGGGCGUUCGGGGUCACGGCCCUGGCCGUACGUGGCCAGCAGUGCCUGAGCCUC